AUGAGUUUACCAAGGGUGACCCAGCUGUCAGAGAUAGAUACCAGGUCUUCUGGAUUUCAAGUCCAUUGUUCUAAGCACUGUACUGUUCUGGAAGACAAGGAGGAACCUGGGGCAAGACUGAAACCGUCCCAGCAAGAGGUCUCUUCUAAUCCUGAGUGUAUGAGGAACUAUAUAACAUGUACUGCAGGUCUCAGUGGGACCUGACUCCCAGAGCCCUUUAGGAGCUCCAGGACUCUUUAGGGAGAGGUAGGUUGGUUGAGAGUGCCUCUGGAUAGAGGACCAGGUUCUGGACCAUGGACUGUGUUCUGGGAACUUUUCAUUGAUCUGCCAUUUGUCCUUCCUGCCCUGAGUCACUGACUGGGGCUGUGCCAGCAGAUUUAGGCGCAUCAUUUGAAAACCCAUUACAACUGGCUGUUGGCUAGACUUUGGGGUGGAGUCAGGGCAUGGAGACAAAUUUUGAACAAAUUCCCUUAUUGUGAACUUUGACGUAUAGAAUCAUGGGAUUGAGAGCUAAAUGGAACCUUAGAAUCUUCCCAUUUUGUAGAUGAAGAAACCAAGGUCUGGAGAGGUAAGAUGCUUGCCCAAAGCUAUAUAGCUAAUAAUAGAAGAGAUAGGACUCAAAUCCAGGCUCUGAUUUCUAGUCUAGAGUUCUUUCCCUUACCCAGUACCCUGCCUCUUGGGAGAGGGCUAACAUCCUUACCUUCCAGAGCUCAGUUUCCUUGUCUGUAAAACGAGAUAAAUUACAUAUGCCAUUUAAUCACAUCCUUAGAGUGCUUGAAGAUUCAGAGAGAACUGAUAGUUUGGAAGGUUAAGAGAGGAUGGAGCAGAAGUCCAUUUUGGUAGUCUCUUAGCCUAGAGGCUUCUUGAGUUUGAGGCCAGGGUGAGGUUUUUUUUCCCCCUUGGCUUGUCCCUUCUGGGCACCUAUUCAGGCAGCCCCUAGCCAGGAGUGCUUGAAUCGUUGUUGUCCCCUUUAUUUGGGGUGAAGUGCAAUUAUCUCCCGGAUCCCCUGGGCUUGGAUCCCCGAGAUAAUGAGAAUGAGAGACAGAAUUAUGAGAACCCAGCUGGCCCAUCUGCAGGGGGUGGAGUGCUGCAGCCCUUGGCAUCUGUGACCUCCUUCCCAGGGAGUGAGAGCUCUUCCAUGCAACGAGUCUGACUGGUUUGUAGGCCUCUCCCCUACCAGCCAGCUCUGGGAGGUGCCUGUGUG
Molecule: long non-coding RNA, 1204 nt
Filed under: Monodelphis domestica (gray short-tailed opossum)
Lineage: Eukaryota; Metazoa; Chordata; Mammalia; Didelphimorphia; Didelphidae
Description: lncRNA (ENSMODG00000046169.1)
Source: RNAcentral